GGGGCGUUAGUCUAGCUUGGUAGGAUCGGAGCUUCGGGAGCUUCAGACGGGAGUUCGAAUCUCCCACGUCCCA
This 73-nucleotide transfer RNA is filed under the name Candidatus Iainarchaeum sp. Its description in RNAcentral is "tRNA-Pro". It matches the Rfam family "tRNA". Rfam says of the family: Transfer RNA (tRNA) molecules are approximately 80 nucleotides in length. Their secondary structure includes four short double-helical elements and three loops (D, anti-codon, and T loops). Lineage: Archaea; Nanobdellati; Candidatus Iainarchaeota; Candidatus Iainarchaeia; Candidatus Iainarchaeales; Candidatus Iainarchaeaceae. The record is from RNAcentral.